CACGUGAAAGACUUCGGGAAACAGAUGCUAACUUGGGGAAAAGCUCCAGAAUUCUGACAGGCAUGUUGCGAAGGUCUAGAAUAUGACAAGCCCUGAGCUCAUCUGGAAAACAGAAUAUUAUUAGGACUCAAAGGUUAAAUGUGCCAUCCCACCAUCAAAGUCGGUGAAUGCUCCUCUGAAACAAUGUGCAGGCCCGUUAUAAAUCAUUUUCAUUCAUGUUAACUCUUACAUAAGCUGAAACUCAGCCUGAAAAUGUUUACUGCUUUCCAGAGAUGACUCAUGCAGUAAUCUUUUUAUUUAUUUCAUUAUUUCGCUCAGUCGUCUCUAGGUGCUCGUAACAAAAGCCUAGCUUUCCACAGGCUGGCUGGCCGUGUACUCGGGCAAAGGCUGGAGCUAAUCCCUCCUGCACUGUGUCUUCUCCUUGCAAGUUGUCAAUACCCGGUAACCAUUAACUAUUAACGGCAACGUCAUCCUGCCAUUCCACUUCCUGCCCAGCUGGCC
Tupaia belangeri chinensis (Chinese tree shrew) is the source of this 501-nucleotide long non-coding RNA. RefSeq lists it as uncharacterized. The transcript has 3 exons. Lineage: Eukaryota; Metazoa; Chordata; Mammalia; Scandentia; Tupaiidae. The record is from RefSeq and is a predicted model, not a curated record.